AUUGAACGCUGGCGGCAUGCCUUACACAUGCAAGUCGAACGGUAACGGGCCUUCGGGUGCCGACGAGUGGCGAACGGGUGCGUAAUACAUCGGAACGUGCCCGAUCGUGGGGGAUAACGAGGCGAAAGCUUUGCUAAUACCGCAUACGAUCUACGGAUGAAAGCAGGGGACCGCAAGGCCUUGCGCGGACGGAGCGGCCGAUGGCAGAUUAGGUAGUUGGUGGGAUAAAAGCUUACCAAGCCGACGAUCUGUAGCUGGUCUGAGAGGAUGAUCAGCCACACUGGGACUGAGACACGGCCCAGACUCCUACGGGAGGCAGCAGUGGGGAAUUUUGGACAAUGGGCGCAAGCCUGAUCCAGCCAUGCCGCGUGUAGGAUGAAGGCCUUCGGGUUGUAAACUGCUUUUGUACGGAACGAAAAGCCUUCUUUUAAUACAGGGGGGUCAUGACGGUACCGGAAGAAUAAGCACCGGCUAACUACGUG
RNAcentral lists this ribosomal RNA (482 nucleotides) under uncultured bacterium. RNAcentral's name for it is "partial 16S ribosomal RNA". It matches the Rfam family "Bacterial small subunit ribosomal RNA", at positions 30 to 507 of the family's 1533-position model. The record is from RNAcentral.